Molecule: long non-coding RNA, 2491 nt
Filed under: Mus musculus (house mouse)
Lineage: Eukaryota; Metazoa; Chordata; Mammalia; Rodentia; Muridae
Description: long non-coding RNA chr1:116103286-116105777
Source: RNAcentral
AAAACCAGCCAGAGCAUAGGGAUUCUUAGGUUAAUUGAGCUGGGAACACAGCCCUGUGAAUGUCACUAAUACUAAUAUAAGAUACUGGACUGUAUUAAAAGGGGAAUGUGAGCUGAAUACAAUCACUCAUCACUCUGUUUCUGUUUCUUGGUUGUGGGUGCCAUGUGACUAUGGAGCUACCUCAUGCUCAUAUUACUGGGAAUUCCCUUCCAUGAUAUAUUGUAUCCCUGAAUGGUGAGCAGAAAAAAAAAAUCCUUCCUUCAUUAAAUUGCUUUAUCAGGGUGUUUUAUGAGCAAAAGAAACUAACCUAUAAGUGAUUGGUAGACAGUGACUAGGAAACGUUUGAACACAAUUUAAGACCCUGGUAGGAUAGGGGAAUAAAAUUAAGGAGAAAGAAAUAAUGGAAAAUUAGUAACAGGCAAGUUUUCCUCUUUCAGUCUUCAUCAUAAGCCUUAAGAAAGGUCUUUUCCUUUGAUGCCAACUUCUGUUCAGUAUUGUAGAUAAUAUAUGUCAUUCAGUAACUUCAAAAGACACAUUGACAUAUUUUAACUCAAAGUGCAAAAUACCAGGUAGGUAUUUUUGAAUUGCUGACUCUGGAAAAAUCUUCAAAUACCCAUAAAUUUCCCGUGACAACUUGUUUAAUUGAGUAAAGAAACAAAAGAGAUCACAGUAAAGUAGGUUUACUUCAAAGCACAGUGACAUCUUUAUGAAUGUGAAGACAACACCCAACAAAUGGAAGAGAACCUGUAGAGACCAUAUCCAGUGGAUAGGCAUGGCCUCCGGUUGAGUGAUGGGGUUACCCGCCCACCUCAAAAAUAUUAAUCCAGAAUUUUUCCUGUCAAAAGGAAAUGUAGUGAGAGAAUGGAGCAGAGACUGAAGGAAAGGCCAUCCAGAGACUGCCCCACCUAGGGAUCCAUCCUAUCUGCAAUCACAGAACCAAGACACUAUAGCUGAUGCCAAGAAGCUCUUACUGACAGGAACCUGGUAUAGCCAGCUGUACGCUGAGGGAGGCUCUGCUAGAACCUCACAAAUACAAAUGCAGAUGUACACAGCCAAACAUUGGACUGAGUGUGGGGGCUCCAAUGGAAAAGUUAGGGCAAGGACUGGAGGAGCUGAAGGGGUUUACAACUUCAUAGGAAGAACAGCAAUAUCAAUCAACCAGAACACACCCCCCCCCUCCAUUUCAGGGCUUUCUAGCUCUCUAACUGUACUGAAAUGCUGAUGAUAACUUCUAAAAUGUCCUAAAAUCUUUUUUUGCUCUUUCUGAGGGUGAAAGACUGCUGGCUUAGGUGAUUAACACCUGUAGCCUAACGGGAGAGGAUUAAGCAAUGUGGCCUUUGUUCUAUCUCAGCAGGAAUUGCUGGGCUCUAACUUUCUGCCUGCUAGUCAGAAGUCCCAAGAAGAAAAUGGGACACUUGUAGAGUUUAUUACUAAGUUGUAAAAAGUUUCCUAUGAAAGCUAUUUAAGAGGAAAGGCAAAAGGAUCCUAAGUGGGAAAAGGGAAAAGAUUUCUACUCUAAGUUGGGGAAAGCAAAAAAUUCUUCCCUCUCUUCUUUGUCUUCAGUAUUUAUACAUCUUUCAGAAUACACCAUCUCAUGUUAAAAAGUUCACCACAAGUUCAAACAAACAAAAAAAAUGAAAUCAUAAAUUGCUCCACUAUGUUCAUAGCAGCCUUAUUUAUAUUAGCCAGAAGCUGGAAAUGGUACAUUUACACAAUGGAGUACUACUCAGCUAUUAAAAAGAAUGAAUUCAUGAAAUUCCUAGGCAAAUAGUUGGACCUGGAGGGCAUCAUCCUGAGAGAGGUAACCCAAUCACAAAAGAAUUCAAAUGAAAUGUACUCACUGAUAAGUGGAUAUUAACCCAGAAACUUAGUAUAGCGAGAUAUAAGGUAUAAUAUGUAAAACAUAUGAAACUGAAGAAGAACGAAGACCAAAGUGUGGACACUUUGCUCAUUCUUAGAAUUGGAAACAAUCACCCAUGGAAGGAGUUACAGAGACAAAGUUUGGAGCUGAGACAAAAGGAUGGUCCAUCUAGAGACUGCCAUAUCCAGGGAUCCAUCCCAUAAUUAGCCUCCAAGCGAUGACACCAUUGCAUACACUAGCAAGCCUUUGUUGCAAGGACGGUGAUAUAGCUGUCCCUUGUGAGACUAGCAAACACAGAAGUGGAUGCUCACAGUCAACUAUUGGAUGGAUCACAGGGACCCCAAUGGAGGAGCUAGAGAAAGUAUCCAAAAGAGCUAAAGAAAUCUGCAACCCUAUCGGAGAAACAACAAUAUGAACUAACCAGUACCCCAGAGCUCUUGACUCUAGCUGCAUAUGUAUCAAAAGAUGACCUAGUCGGCCACCACUGAAAAGAGAGGCCCAUUGGUCAGGCAAACGUUAUAUGCCCCAGUACAGGGGAACGCCAGGGCCAAAAAAUGGGAAUGGGUGGGUAGGGGAGUGGGGGGGGGCACUUUUGGGAUAGCAUUGGAAAUGUAAUUGAAGAAAAUACGU